AGCAGCCGCGGUAAUUCCAGCUCCAAUAGCGUAUAUUAAAGUUGUUGCAGUUAAAAAGCUUGUAGUUAAAUUUCGGGGUUAGUAGGUUGGUCAUGCCUCUGGUAUGUACUGGUCUCACUGAUUCCUCCUUCCUGAUGAACCGUAAUGCCAUUAAUUUGGUGUUACGGGGAAUUUGGACUGUUACUUUGAAAAAAUUAGAGUGUUUAAAGCAGGCUAACGCUUGAAUACAUUAGCAUGGAAUAAUGAAAUAGGACGUUCGAUCCUAUUUUGUUGGUUUCUAGGAUUGACGUAAUGAUUAAUAGGGAUAGUUGGGGGCAUUAGUAUUCAAUUGUCAGAGGUGAAAUUCUUGGAUUUAUUGAAGACUAACUACUGCGAAAGCAUUUGCCAAGGAUGUUUUCAUUAAUCAAGAACGAAAGUUAGGGGAUCGAAGACGAUCAGAUACCGUCGUAGUCUUAACCAUAAACUAUGCCGACUAGGGAUCGGAUGAUGUUAAUUUUUUAAUGACUCA
RNAcentral lists this ribosomal RNA (508 nucleotides) under Glomus sp. Glo8. RNAcentral's name for it is "SSU rRNA". It matches the Rfam family "Eukaryotic small subunit ribosomal RNA", at positions 569 to 1078 of the family's 1831-position model. Lineage: Eukaryota; Fungi; Glomeromycota; Glomeromycetes; Glomerales; Glomeraceae. The record is from RNAcentral.